This 301-nucleotide ribosomal RNA is filed under the name uncultured bacterium. RNAcentral's name for it is "partial 16S ribosomal RNA". It matches the Rfam family "Bacterial small subunit ribosomal RNA", at positions 509 to 807 of the family's 1533-position model. The record is from RNAcentral.
CAGUCGCCACGGGAAUACCGAGGAUGCAAGCGUUAUCCGGAAUGAUUGGGCGUAAAGCGUCUGUAGGUGGCUUUUCAAGUCCGCCGUCAAAUCCCAGGGCUUACCCUUGAAAAUGCGGUGGAAACUAGCAGGCUAGAGUACGGUGGGGGCAGAGGGAAUUCCCGAUGUAGCGGUGAAAUGCAUAGAUAUCGGGAAGAACACCGAUGGCGAAGGCACUCUGCUGGGCCGACACUGACACUGAGAGACGAAAUCUAGGGGAGCAAAUGGGAUUAGAUACCCCCGUAGUCCCUGUCUCUUAUAC